Molecule: long non-coding RNA, 3674 nt
Organism: Solanum pennellii
Lineage: Eukaryota; Viridiplantae; Streptophyta; Magnoliopsida; Solanales; Solanaceae
Exons: 7
Source: RefSeq, a predicted model, not a curated record
AAAAUAUAUAUUUCCCUCCACUGCUAGACUUUAGCUAAAUUGCCAUUUAUUUCGUUUAGGGUUACAACUUUUGUCUUCUUCUUGCAAAAGGAUUUCUGAAAAAUGGAAAGAAUAACGUGAGCUCCGAUUAAUCGCAGUAUAUUUCUUCAACAAGAUCCGGUCUUCUUCUUCUUCAUAGUGAGUUUUUUCUCGGAUUGGAGACUCUUUUGCCUUCCAAAUCUCAUCAAAAUCAGCUCGUGAUCAUGGAAGCUUGUGGCUAGCUCGUGCUCGUCCCAGUGUCGCUGCACCAAAGAAAAUAAUUCCUUUUCCUUGAAUUUUUUUUCCAGUUUUCGGGGUUAUAGUUUAAACUUUGAAUAUUCUUCUAUAUGUUCUAGUUCCUUAGCUGAAAUAUUUAUUAAUUCAUCGAUUUAUGUGACUCAAUCUAAGUAUGUUAAAAUCUUAAUCAUUUAGUUUGCUUUCUAUAUUAGUUGAUGCAUUUUCUAGUUCUCAUUUCUGUUCCUUAGGGUGAUUUCUAUUCCUGUUUGAAUUUCCUUCAAUAUUAAGUGUAUUUCUUAAAUUAAUGUGUCUAAAUUUGUUUAUGGUUUGAAUCAUAUACUCCUUAUUUGAUUAUUGCAGAUAUCGGUCUUGUUCUCUAUAAUGUUACGGUUUGUAUGUUAAUGGAUGUAAACAUCCAUUAUGACUAGUUGCUAUUUCAAAAGACCGGAUAUUUUGAUUUUUCUGAAUUAGUUUCCGAAUUGGGCCUUUAUUUUAAUAUCCAAGUUAACCUUGUUUUUUAGUUCAUACCGUACAUUUUUCUCAUUUGUGAAAGUCAGAUCUUGUUUUAAGCCUAGAGAACUCUUGAUUUUAGCUUCUGCAUAAAAAUCCUUUAAGAUAUAAAUGGGCUGGUGUUUUCUGUGUCUUUGUUUGUUGUGAAUAGUGUCAGCACUUUGUCUAAAUCCGCUUGGUUUGAUAUCUUUUGCAUAUGUACGUUUGGGGCUUAUUAUAAGUAGAAUUUAAAAUUUAUUCUCUUGUCAAUUAAAUCUGUUGGCCUCGCUAUGUGUUUCCAGCAGGGUGAGUUAUUUUUUUUUGUCAACAAGCAUUCUGGGUUGGUUCUUCUUAAGGUAAUUUAUUUAAGUGUCAUUGCUUCUGAUCGAAUUUUCGAGUGAUUGGUUUAGUAUGUAUUUGGUUAGAGUUCAGUCGUUUGUGCUGACCAAAUUAUGAUAUCUGAUGGUUUAUGAAUCUUGUUAUUAUUUUCUCUCGAAUCGGUCAGUCCUACACUUCUUACAUGCGAGAUGAUUAAUUGUGUAACUUUAGUUUGAUUUCAUUUCUUAUUCCAUAUUGUGACAGCCAUAUACCUUAUAUAAAGUCCUUGGAAAUUGCAUAUACAGAUUUCUAAAGUUUUGAAUUCGCUAGACCCUUCUUUGUUUAGCUUCUGAUGGUUUUUCUCUUAAAAUUGACAUUUUAUAUCUAGUUGAAACUAUCUGAUAUCAUAUUCUAGAAUCUUUCUCAUUUACUGGUGCUAGGUUCUAGAUGUUUGAUUUACUUCAAAGUAGCAUUUGAUGUAGAUAAAGGCUAGCAUUUCUUCUUCUACUAGUCCAUUACUUGCUGACACUAUUAGAAGCAUUGGAUGUAGUACCCUUAAAGUUAAGUUAGGAUGCUUAUUCAAAAAUAAUGUUCAAUCUCCAUUUACUGCCUCAUUCUUGUUUAAUGUUGCAAGACUGAUCACUUUAACUCCUAAUUUAUCAGGUCUAAGAAUUAAUUUUUAUACUUUUCUAUUAAUACCAUCUGCUAAAAUGGCAAGACUACUGAAACCAAAACGAGGGAUAACCUAUGUUUAGUGCGCACGUAGCCAUUUAGAUAGUAUAAAUUUUCAAAAACUUGGAGUAGAUCCACAUGAUUUACUUCUAAAAAGAAUAUUUAUGUAUUAUUGAACUUUCUUUAUGCUCAUUUGCUAUCGUCACUUUUAUUGUUUUUAUUGUUCUACUGAUAACAAAAUGUGUUUUUAAGUUCUUGGUGAUUAUUUGUUCAGAUUUGAAUAGUCAUGAGUCAACAAGAGCCUUCGAAAAGAAACAAAAGAGCAAAAAAGAACAUCGCUAAACCUGGAUCAUUAUCUUUCUUGGCAAAUAAAAAACAACGAUUAUUGACAACAAAUGAAAUCGUUCAAGCUAUAGAGUGAGGAAAGGACAUCUUCUAAACUUAAUUGCAGAACAACAUCCAGGCGUAGCACCAUAAUCUCAAGCAAGUGAACAAUCUGAAGAAAUUGGGCAAUCUUUAGAGGAAAAACCUCCAGAGGAACAGCCCCUAGAAGAGCAAGUGAAAAUUAAUUUAUCAUUCCUCCAACAAAUGAACAAUCUGAAGAACAAAGUAACAUAUAAUCUUGCAAACUUAUUGAAUUCAUCCAUGAUUUCUAAUUUUUCGUAUUUUGUUAAAGUUGAAGGCCUUCCAACUCAAAACACAAGAGGCAAAACACAAAUGCAUAAUGUACAUAACCGACAUGAGCACAAAUUGAUCACACUGAAUUGGUUAAAUCAACCUGUUGGUCCUACUGAUAAAUUAUUAACAGAGUUAAGUAGCUUCCUAGGCACAUUGGCAAGAACUGCAACACUUUGCCCAUUUGAUAUGUUUGAUUGGAGGAACAUGGACACCAAAAAAGAUUUAUGUGAUUAAAAGAAGGAGAAAUAUAAUAUUUCUGAAGCUCCGAAAAAAAAUGUACUUUGGUAACAAUUUGGAUGCUUGGAGAAGGCAUAGAAGUGAUCUGAAGAUCAAUUAUUAUGACCUGUAUGACAGUGAUGAAGUUCGAACGAAAAAAAAUCCCGGUCAUAUUCCAGAAUGUCAGUUUAGUGAGCUCCUCAAAUAAUUGAAGUCUUGGAAAUUCAAGUUUUGCAGAAAAUGUCUGAAACAAAUACUAAGAAUCGAAAAAAGCUGAUGAACCCACACACCGCUGGUAAAAAGAGUUUUGCUUUAGUCCGUAACAAAUUAGAAAAAGAAAAGGAUACUGUAUCAGCUAAAGAGAUCUUCGUGGUCACAAGAACAAAAAAACCGGGCAUUUGUACAAGACCUCGAAUGAAAACACAACUAGUAAAAUUUUGUUGGAUAUGCUCUGUUAGGCUGAAAUGGAAGCGAUUGAAACACAAAUGGACACAAAUGAUCAGUUUGUUGAUGCAUUUUCAGCCGUUAUGGGUCAUGAACAUCAGGGACGUCUAAUACUGUAUGGAGUGGGGGUUUCAAAGAAUGCAUUGAAAAGAAAACCUGGAAAACCUGACAAUUUUUUAAAGGCCACAGAUGAUGUAGUGCAACAAAUGCAUGACAGAAGGCAAAAAACGGAGAAAGAGAUGGAGGAACAAAAGAAAACUAUGCGACAAGAAGCUAUCACAAAUGUAAUUGCACAACUUCAAAAUGCAGGAUUAAUUGAUCAGAACAUACUAGCUACAUUAUGUGUUCGUCCUCCAAGAGAAAUUAGUACUUCCUCACAAACGGCUUUUUAAGGUGAUAAAAUUGAAGGAGAUGAAAGCAGUACUGAAGACUUGACUUAGGAGUUAACUGGAUUGAUGUUAAUUAACUUUAAUCAUCUAUGUUCUACAAAUAUUUUGAUUUUGAUGAAUAUUGAAAAUUGUGGUGUGUUUCAUCCUUUUUGAACAUUGAAAAAAUAUUUGUAUAUUUUGUUAUUAUUAAUAUUACUAACCACUUUGAUCUCU